Molecule: long non-coding RNA, 2328 nt
Filed under: Oncorhynchus mykiss (rainbow trout)
Lineage: Eukaryota; Metazoa; Chordata; Actinopteri; Salmoniformes; Salmonidae
Description: lncRNA (ENSOMYG00000068617.1)
Source: RNAcentral
AUGAAUAACCACCACGCUGCGCUUUGGUCCGCUUCUCUUCCUCCUACAGACGAACGCCCUUACAGAAUCACCCACCGCAACAGGACCAAGCGGCGUGGUAACGGGCAACAGCGGCACAAGGAGGAAUGGACUUGGGAUGAUGUGUUGGACGGCAAGGGUUGCUACACAUGGGAGGAGAUCCUGGCGGGAAAGGAUCGCCUUCCAUGGGAACAGGUGGAGGCAGCGAGGAGAGCAGAGGCAGCCGGAGAGAGGAGCCGGCGAUAUGAGGGAACACGGUUGGCAAGGAAGCCGGGGAGUCAGCCCCAAAAAUUUAUUGGGGGGGGGCUAACAGGGAGUAUGGCUACGCCAGGUAGGAGACCUGAGCCAACUUCCUGUGGUUACCGGGGGGCUAGAGAGACCGGGCAGGCACCGUGUUAUGCUGUGGAGCGCACGGUGUCCCCAGUGCGGGUGCACAGCCCGGUGCGGUACAUUCCAGCUCCGCGUAUCGGCCGGGCUAGAGUGGGCAUCGAGCCAAGUGCCAUGAAGCCGGCUCUACGCAUCUGGUCUCCAGUGCGUCUCCUUGGGCCGGCUUACAUGGCACCAGCCUUGCGCACGGUGUCCCCGGUUCGCCUGCAUAGCCCAGUGCGGGCUAUUCCACCUCGCCGCACUGGCAGGGCGACCGGGACCAUUCAACCGGGUAAGGUUGGGCAGGCUCGGUGCUCAAGAGCUCCAGUGCGCCUGCACGGCCCGGUCUAUCCGUCACCACCUCCACGCACCAGCCCUCCGGUGGCAGCUCCCCGUACCAGGCUGUCUCUCCGGCCCAUCCUUGCAGGGGCUCUCUCCUCUCCAGCGCUGCCGGAGUCUCCCGCCUCUCCGGCGCUACCAGAGCCUUCCUCCCCUCCAGCGCUGCCGGAGUCUCCCGCCUGUUCGGCGCUACGAGAGCUACUCAGUCCGGCGCUUCCAGAGCCUUCCUCCUCUCCAGCGCCGCCAGUGCCGCUCGUCAGCCCAGCGCCGCCAACGCCGCCCGUCUGCCCAGCGCCGCCAGUGCCGCCCGUCUGUCCAGCGCCGCCCGUCUGUCCAGCGCCGCCCGUCUGUCCAGCGCCGCCCGUCUGCCCAGCGCCGCCAGCGCCGCCCGUCUGCCCAGCGCCGCCAGCGCCGCCCGUCUGCCCAGCGCCGCCAGCGCCGCCCGUCUGCCCAGCGCCGCCAGUGCCGCCCGUCUGCCCAGCGCCGCCAGUGCCGCCCGUCUGCCCAGCGCCGCCAGUGCCGCCCGUCUGCCCAGCGCCGCCAGUGCCGCCCGUCUGCCCAGCGCCGCCAGUGCCGCCCGUCUGCCCAGCGCCGCCAGUGCCGCCCGUCUGCCCAGCGCCGCCAGUGCCGCCCGUCUGCCCAGCGCCGCCAGUGCCGCCCGUCUGCCCAGCGCCGCCAGUGCCGCCCGUCUGCCCAGCGCCGCCAGUGCCGCCCGUCUGCCCAGCGCCGCCAGUGCCGCCCGUCUGCCCAGCGCCGCCAGUGCCGCCCGUCUGCCAGGAGCCGCCAGUGCCGCCCGUCUGCCAGGAGCCGCCAGUGCCGCCCGUCAGCCAGGGGCCGCCAGUGCCGCCCGUCAGCCAGGGGCCGCCAGUCAACCAGGGGUCGCCAGUGCCGCCAGUCAGCCAGGGGCCGCCAGUAAGCCAGGGGCCGCCAGUGCCGCCAGUAAGCCAGGGGCCGCCAGUGCCGCCAGUCAGCCAGGGGCCGCCAGUCAGCCAGGGGCCGCCAGUAAGCCAGGGGCCGCCAGUGCCGUCAGUCAGCCAGGGGCCGCCCGAGCAGCUGCCCCUCUGUCCCGAGCAGCUGUCCCUCUGUCCCGAGCAGCUGUCCCUCUGUCCCGAGCAGCUGUCCCUCUGUCCCGAGCAGCUGUCCCUCUGUCCCGAGCAGCUGUCCCUCUGUCCCGAGCAGCCGUCCCUCUGUCCCGAGCAGCCGCCCCUCUGUCCCGAGCAGCCGCCCCUCUGUCCCGAGCAGCCGCCCCUCUGUCCCGAGCAGCUGCCGCCCCUCUGUCCCGAGCAGCUGCCGCCCCUCUGUCCCGAGCAGCUGCCGCCCCUCUGUCCCGAGCAGCUGCCGCCCCUCUGUCCCGAGCUGCUAUCGCCCCUCUGUCCCGAGCUGCUACUGCCCCUCUGUCCCGAGCAGCUGCUUCACCUCUGUCCCGAGCUGCCCCUCUGUCCCGAGCAGCCCCUCUGUCCAGUGGGGUCAUUGAGAGGGGUGGCCAUGGUGAGUAAGCCAGGGAGGCGGACAAUAAGGCGGACUAAGACAAUGGUGAAGUGGGGUCCGCGUCCCGCGCCAGAGCCGCCACCGCGGACAGACGCCCACCCAGACCCUCCCCUAUAG